This 750-nucleotide ribosomal RNA is filed under the name uncultured cyanobacterium. RNAcentral describes it as "bacterial SSU rRNA". It matches the Rfam family "Bacterial small subunit ribosomal RNA", at positions 42 to 835 of the family's 1533-position model. The record is from RNAcentral. Lineage: Bacteria; Bacillati; Cyanobacteriota.
GCGUGCCUAACACAUGCAAGUCGAACGGGAAUCUUCGGAUUCUAGUGGCGGACGGGUGAGUAACGCGUAAGAAUCUAACUUCAGGACGGGGACAACAGUUGGAAACGACUGCUAAUACCCGAUGUGCCGCAAGGUGAAACCUAAUUGGCCUGAAGAAGAGCUUGCGUCUGAUUAGCUAGUUGGUGGGGUAAAGGCCUACCAAGGCGACGAUCAGUAGCUGGUCUGAGAGGAUGAGCAGCCACACUGGGACUGAGACACGGCCCAGACUCCUACGGGAGGCAGCAGUGGGGAAUUUUCCGCAAUGGGCGAAAGCCUGACGGAGCAACGCCGCGUGAGGGAGGAAGGUCUUUGGAUUGUAAACCUCUUUUCUCAAGGAAGAAGUUCUGACGGUACUUGAGGAAUCAGCCUCGGCUAACUCCGUGCCAGCAGCCGCGGUAAUACGGGGGAGGCAAGCGUUAUCCGGAAUUAUUGGGCGUAAAGCGUCCGCAGGUGGUCAGCCAAGUCUGCUGUCAAAUCAGGUUGCUUAACGACCUAAAGGCGGUGGAAACUGGCAGACUAGAGAGCAGUAGGGGUAGCAGGAAUUCCCAGUGUAGCGGUGAAAUGCGUAGAGAUUGGGAAGAACAUCGGUGGCGAAAGCGUGCUACUGGGCUGUAUCUGACACUCAGGGACGAAAGCUAGGGGAGCGAAAGGGAUUAGAUACCCCUGUAGUCCUAGCCGUAAACGAUGGAUACUAGGCGUGGCUUGUAUCGA